UUUCCUGUCUAUUUCCCAUCA
RNAcentral lists this microRNA (21 nucleotides) under Gadus morhua (Atlantic cod). Its description in RNAcentral is "gmo-miR-11273-5p". The record is from miRBase by way of RNAcentral. Lineage: Eukaryota; Metazoa; Chordata; Actinopteri; Gadiformes; Gadidae.